Molecule: ribosomal RNA, 468 nt
Filed under: uncultured bacterium
Lineage: Bacteria
Description: partial 16S ribosomal RNA
Rfam family: Bacterial small subunit ribosomal RNA
Source: RNAcentral
GACGAACGCUGGCGGCGUGCUUAACACAUGCAAGUCGAACGGAAAGGCCCUGCUUUUGUGGGGUGCUCGAGUGGCGAACGGGUGAGUAACACGUGAGUAACCUGCCCUUGACUUUGGGAUAACUUCAGGAAACUGGGGCUAAUACCGGAUAGGAGCUCCUGCUGCAUGGUGGGGGUUGGAAAGUUUCGGCGGUUGGGGAUGGACUCGCGGCUUAUCAGCUUGUUGGUGGGGUAGUGGCUUACCAAGGCUUUGACGGGUAGCCGGCCUGAGAGGGUGACCGGCCACAUUGGGACUGAGGUACGGCCCAGACUCCUACGGGAGGCAGGAGGGGGGAAUAUUGCACCAUGGGCGGAAGCCUGAAGCAGCAACGCCGCGUGCGGGAUGACGGCCUUCGGGUUGUAAACCGCUUUCGCCUGUGACGAAGCGUGAGUGACGGUAAUGGGUAAAGAAGCACCGGCUAACUACGUG